GGGAACAUCUAAAAGAAACAAGUUAAUCUAAGAUGAAAAGUUCAUUUGAAUGUGUAUAAUAUCAUACCUGUUUUCUUCAAGGUUCGCAAGUUGCUGUGACAUUUAAUCAAUGGAGAUUUAUCUAACUGAUAAUCCUCAUCCUUAAAAUGCUCCGAACAUAUCGCACUACAUUUAGAUGGACACCAAUUUGCAUCUCGUCCGCAAAAUGCGAUCCAUUGUUGAGCUAGCUCACUCUCUCGCGGAAAAGUAUGAAACAUAACAAUCGUGCUACGAUUUUUCACAUUGGUUCUGUUAUUUUUGCAUAACAAAGCUGCACAAAAUGCAUACGGCAUUUUGAAAUACUAUGCAGAGCGUUGAAAAUAUUUGAAACACUUUAACUUUCGUUGAAAAACUUUAACUUUCGUACUGCGUUUCAAAACACCAAUGGAAAAGCGAAAACAGAAAAGAGCGUUCCCGAAGUAAACAUCCCACCAUCCCGUGAAUGUCAAACUCUGAAGUUUUUUCUAAAAUACGAUCGGGGAUUUGUUCUGGAUAAAGCUACCUGUCUUUUUAAAGUACCUUGAAACUGCCACAAAAGUGACUCAGAAAGACCCACCUGUCUAUUUAAAACACAUUGGCAACGCAGCGUUUACCCGUGCUGGUUCAGAUGGUUCAGCGCCUUCAGCACCUGGUAGCCAAUUCGGGGCAGUUUUCGCGUUUCUGUUGUAUUAUGAAUGUUAAAAUUCACGAAAAGUGGCACUGUCACAAAAAACCAAAGUUAAAUUCACGAAAUUGCCACAAAAGUGACUCAGAUAGAUUCCACCUGUGAAAUUUAUGAAAUUGCCACAAAAGUGAUUCAGAAAGACUCCACUUGUCUAUUUAAAACACAUUGGCAACGCAGCGUUUACCCGUGCUGGUUCAGAUGGUUCAGCGCCUUCAGCACCUGGUAGCCAAUUCGGGGCAGUUUUCGCGUUUCUGUUGUAUUAUGAAUGUUAAAAUUCACGAAAAGUGGCACUGUCACAAAAAACCAAAGUUAAAUUCACGAAAUUGCCACAAAAGUGACUCAGAUAGAUUCCACCUGUGAAAUUCAUGAAAUUGCUAUAUAAUAGCAGGGCGCUUUUAUCAACAAAACCACAUCAUUCGAGCAACCGAGUUAUGUUUUACAGCGAGUGAGCACGGUAUAGGAACGCUAGCCAGCUCUUGUUCUGGUAUAGGUGGCAAGAACUAUUGGUCGAUACGACCGAUGGAGAGGUCCGAGGACGGAAACUCGAGUCGGUAGGAAACAUCGAGUGUUUCCUGCGUGUUUCUUCACCGCCCGCCCUUCAUCUCUGCUGCACUGAGCGGAUCAUGAACGACGGCAUCACGCACGACUUUGAUGUUGGCCAGCAGUCGCCAACCGUGGUUACGUUCGCAAUAGAAGACGCGCCCUCCGCCGUGUUGAUGCAUCGUGCGUGCUGAACCGGUGAAUUACUAAUUGUGUCCGCUCCGAGCAACAUAGUUUACAUUGGCGAGAGCAGGUCGUUCUUUGCCGUGUGCGAUGCGUUGCGACACCUGUUCGAGGGGCCCGUGAUCCAGGAGCUGCGGGUGCUGUCGUAAAAAACUGAAUCGGGAGAAGCAUACGAGGAAGAUGAGGCGAGCAUUAAUGUGGAAAACUUGCGUGUAAAGGCAUGCCGCGGUACAAGGUGUUGCGGAAGUAUCGCAAGGGUGGGAAGCCACCAGCAACAGUUGCGGCACCAACAACGGGCAGUCGAUCGUCGGGAUCGUCCCGCGAAUCUCAGAGACGCGUUUGAGUGAGGUCAUGAAGGAGACCGGAGCCGGUUCUAAAUCCAUCUCACCGCUGCUGAAGGGUAAGAAAACGCUCGUUGAUGAAGAGGAUGGGGAUGUUGAUAGUGAGGCAUGUUGUCGCCGGUUCGGCUGAUUUAGCUCCUGCCGCGAGCGGUAAUGCAGCCAUCGAUUCAACGGUCGGCAGCUUGUUGCUUGGCAGUCGAAGGGCGUGAGAUGACGCAGUGACUCAUUUCAUUCUAUUUUGGCUUUCGGAAAAAUCUGCCCGAUUCGAGAUUGAUCCGGCUCAGCUGAUGCUGCUGAUAAUAAUAAUUUCAAUGAUAACAACUAAUAAUUUUCCUCAUUGUCUUGAGUUGUUUGUCUCUUUGUCAUGGUAUAUUUAGGAACGUUUCAAUCUGCACUGUUCUAGCUACAUCGUUUCGCUUUUAGCACUUGAAAGUAUCGCUAACUGCUGACCCCAACGGAAGCGCGCGCGAAUUGUUCACCGCGGCGAACUAAUGCUUCAAGUUUUGAUUCCUAAUUUACUAUCUUCCUCAUUUUCUUUGUCCUUUUUUCAUUAGUCGGUAAUUUCCGUUUGGGCAGUAACCUUUUUUCAUUGAGAUUUUUCAUGUUGAUAUAUCGUAUACGAACAUUCACUCGAAGCUUAACAAAAUAUCUGAUUAUCGUUGGCGGUAGAUCUUUCAUUUUGGUUUCUAUUUUGGUGGAACAUCUGGCUACAACAUUUUGAGUGUAUUGAAAUUUACCAUUAGGGUGGAUUUUUUGGAAUAUCUUUUCCAUUUUAUGACAUGAUUUUAGGAACUCUUCUGACGGCACAAACAGCCCUCCUACGGAUAAAUGUUGUAGAUAGCUGGGAGGAUGUGAAUAGCUAUGAUCGCUCUUGAUGUUUAAAGAUUGUGUUCCCAAUUGAAGCUCCGGAUAUUUUGAUUUGAACUUGUUCGCUAAAAAUCCUACUAUGUAUUGUAGUCCGUCGCUUUCUUGGCCCGUAUUUUCGCCCAUCGAACUACUUAUGGAACUCAAUAUUUUACUACUUUCCGAGUUUUCGCGGUCAUGUAAAUCAGUAUUCGCUAUUACGAUUGAAGGCCCUGAAAAUAACUUCGCCAUUAUAAAGGUUUCAUCUUCUUCAAAUUCUUGUAGAUCUUCUGCCUCAACUUGUUCAAUGUUAGUAUGGUUUUUUAAAAUAGUUGGUGUCUUGCCUAAAACUAUUAGCCUAAUUCUAUGAACGCAACUUUUAGGUGAAGGGUGAUCGUGUACCCCACCUAUCUGUCUAAUUUGUGAAAAGAAGUUUUCCAGCACAUCCUGAUUUAGCUGUAAAUAUAGAAAAGAAAUAUUAUAUUAGAUAUACAAAAAUUUCUUGCUUUGCGAGUGGUAUGCUUACCUUUCGUGUGGAUAAAAAUGUGAUGUUAUGUUUUGCCUUCAUAUCCACGAAUAACAGUUUUAAGCCUGUUAUUUGCAUGAGCAUUGAUUUUUGAAAAAUCUGUAAAUUAGUUUUUCCUAUCACACGCAUGUUUCAAAGGAACUCGUGCAUUUCGUCUAAUGCUGAAAUUUGAUUUUCAUUGCCGGUGAACGUUUUUUUGUAGUCCAGCUUGGCGACUGGACUACACGAGUUAGAAAUAUUAAACCACAAAUCUAUUUUUUCAAUAACGUUGGCAAGAUUGAUCGCGUUCUCAUUGUGUGGAUAAUAGUGCCGCAAAGCAACAGCCGUUGUUCGCGACAAUAAUUCUGCUGCUUUUCUCACGUUUUGCUUUUCUAAAGAAGUCAACAAAAUAUGACCCUUUGUUAGUUUAAAUGUCGAUGUAAUUUCUAAAUUAUCUCUUUCAGAUACUAAAUCCCAUAAUAUAUCGGAUUGAAUUUUGUGCCCAUUAUAUUCAAAACCUGGCUUUAGCAGCCAAUUUCUCAUCAAUUUUAAAAGAUGGGGUGCAUCCGGAAUCACAUAAACUCUAGUGUUUGUCACAGGGUGUUUAAAAAAGGGUUCAUUAUAGCUUACUACACCCAAUUCUUUCCAGCAAGAUAUAUUUGUCGAAGCAUUAUCACUGACGAUGGAUACCACAUUAACCCCUUUAUGAUAAAGUUUUUCUAUUAAAGUAUUCACGAUUUCCUUCGUCAUUUUUUGGUCAAAUCCGAUGUAUACGGGUUGUUUCCAUUUUUGGAAAAGGCCACGCGCCAUAACAACUUGAACAUAAUUAAAAGGACCCAUAAUUUCAUCUGCUGCAAUAUCGUACUCCAUUACUUCAGAUACCUUCAUUUCAUCGAAACUUAAGACACAUUCCUUGUCCUGUUUCUCAAAAGUUCGAGUAAAGUUCCCUAUCAUAUUGAUUACAUCUUCUAACACACCUUGCUUAAGGUUAAAAGUUCUCGCAUGGCGUUGUAAUGUGGAUAUGGAAGGAAGUGGAUACUUUAAAUCUCUAGCUAAAUAUUUAUAAGCUCGUUUUGAAAAAUACCUUAAUGUAAGAGCUGCGCUUAUUUCGUCUAAGGACCACUUCACCCGUUUCCUUACGUUUAAAAUUACAUCUAACUAAUUACUUGAUAAUGUUGCUUUAAGCCUAUUUUUUAUAAUAGAGUUAAUUUUGGUUUUAGCUAUAGGACUCCUUUCAAUAUGUUCUAUUUUUUUUUUGCUUUUUUGGAGUUCCUGUUUGAGUGCUUUAUUUUCAUUAUGAAGUUCGCUUAAUUUUUUCAUCAAUUGUCCAUUAACUUCCUUCAAUCUUUUAUUUUCUAAUUCGAGGGGCGAAGGAGGUGGGGGAAUCCCGAUUUUCAACUGCAGAAUCCGAAUCCCAAACCGUACCCGUACCUUCGGACGACUUAUACAGAGCGUAACUUUUAACUACUAGCUGUUCCUCCUGCUGCAUCGUAUUUACAGGCGUAUUUUGGUUGGAUUCGUACACAGAGGGAACAGCUAAAAGAAACAAGUUAAUCUAAGAUGAAAAGUUCAUUUGAAUGUGUAUAAUAUCAUACCUGUUUUCUUCAAGGUUCGCAAGUUGCUGUGACAUUUAAUCAAUGGAGAUUUAUCUAACUGAUAAUCCUCAUCCUUAAAAUGCUCCGAACAUAUCGCACUACAUUUAGAUGGACACCAAUUUGCAUCUCGUCCGCAAAAUGCGAUCCAUUGUUGAGCUAGCUCACUCUCUCGCGGAAAAGUAUGAAACAUAACAAUCGUGCUACGAUUUUUCACAUUGGUUCUGUUAUUUUUGCAUAACAAAGCUGCACAAAAUGCAUACGGUAUUUUGAAAUACUAUGCAGAGCGUUGAAAAUAUUUGAAACACUUUAACUUUCGUUGAAAAACUUUAACUUUCGUACUGCGUUUCAAAACACCAAUGGAAAAGCGAAAACAGAAAAGAGCGUUCCCGAAGUAAACAUCCCACCAUCCCGUGAAUGUCAAACUCUGAAGUUUUUUCUAAAAUACGAUCGGGGAUUUGUUCUGGAUAAAGCUACCUGUCUUUUUAAAGUACCUUGAAACUGCCACAAAAGUGACUCAGAAAGACUCCACCUGUCUAUUUAAAACACAUUGGCAACGCAGCGUUUACCCGUGCUGGUUCAGAUGGUUCAGCGCCUUCAGCACCUGGUAGCCAAUUCGGGGCAGUUUUCGCGUUUCAGUUGUAUUAUGAAUGUUAAAAUUCACGAAAAGUGGCACUGUCACAAAAAACCAAAGUUAAAUUCACGAAAUUGCCACAAAAGUGACUCAGAUAGAUUCCACCUGUUAAAUUCAUGAAAUUGCCACAAAAGUGAUUCAGAAAGACUCCACCUGUUAAAUUCACGAAACUGCCACAAAAGUGACUCAGAAAGACUCCACCUGUCUAUUUAAAACACAUUGGCAACGCAGCGUUUACCCGUGCUGGUUCAGAUGGUUCAGCGCCUUCAGCACCUGGUAGCCAAUUCGGGGCAGUUUUCGCGUUUCUGUUGUAUUAUGAAUGUUAAAAUUCACGAAAAGUGGCACUGUCACAAAAAACCAAAGUUAAAUUCACGAAAUUGCCACAAAAGUGACUCAGAUAGAUUCCACCUGUUAAAUUCAUGAAAUUGCCACAAAAGUGAUUCAGAAAGACUCCACCUGUUAAAUUCACGAAACUGCCACAAAAGUGACUCAGAAAGACUCCACCUGUCUAUUUAAAACACAUUGGCAACGCAGCGUUUACCUGUGCUGGUUCAGAUGGUUCAGCGCCUUCAGCACCUGGUAGCCAAUUCGGGGCAGUUUUCGCGUUUCAGUUGUAUUAUGAAUGUUAAAAUUCACGAAAAGUGGCACUGUCACAAAAAACCAAAGUUAAAUUCACGAAAUUGCCACAAAAGUGACUCAGAUAGA
This is a long non-coding RNA of Anopheles darlingi, 6046 nucleotides long. RefSeq lists it as uncharacterized. The record is from RefSeq and is a predicted model, not a curated record. Lineage: Eukaryota; Metazoa; Arthropoda; Insecta; Diptera; Culicidae. The transcript is spliced from 3 exons.